CUAGAACUCUUAAUGUUAUAGAUGUUAGUUUGAGGAGUUGUAAUACCAGUUAUGCACGGUGAUCACGUGCACAACUUGAUACCAUUGAUGGUACCUCUAUGGGACUAUUAGGGCUUACUAACACACGGAGUAGACUACAUAUGCGCACCAUCGGAAGUACAAAACUUGUAUGUUGGUCCAGCAGGAUGCUUAGAGUUGACAGGUAUGGCCCAAAGAUUUUCUUCACCUCUGUAUUGUUAGUUUCUUACCUUUUUUACAUACCUGUCAGCAUUCCUCGAAGAACCUUCGUUAUUCGUCGCUUUCCGUUCUUAACCUCUGUCCUACUAGCGGUAAGAAGUAUUACCUCUCAGUCCCAGAUAUAACAAAAUACGAUAAAAUGGAAUUCCCACAAAUCCAGGAUGGACUAUGACUACUAGUACACG
This 422-nucleotide ribosomal RNA is filed under the name Triticum aestivum (bread wheat). Its description in RNAcentral is "partial small subunit ribosomal RNA". Lineage: Eukaryota; Viridiplantae; Streptophyta; Magnoliopsida; Poales; Poaceae. The record is from RNAcentral.